Quercus lobata is the source of this 382-nucleotide long non-coding RNA. RefSeq lists it as uncharacterized. The transcript is spliced from 3 exons. The record is from RefSeq and is a predicted model, not a curated record. NCBI's taxonomy places the organism in Eukaryota, Viridiplantae, Streptophyta, Magnoliopsida, Fagales, Fagaceae.
UCUCUAUCUUCUUUCUUCUUGUCUUUCUAAUAGUCUGAUAUUUUUCUCCUUUUUCGUCUCUUUCUUCAUUUUGGUUAGCUCCAAGAAUGCCUACAAAAUAGCUCUUCGAAAAUGCAUGAUUCAACUUCUAUUUCAGAAAAUCUAAUGCCAGCCUUCUAAGUGGGUCAAGGGGAAGCAAUUGGAAGAAGUUGUGGCCAUUAAAAACACAUAUGGGAUUGGUGGCAAAAAGAUAGCUUUUGUUGGACUAUUUGAACUCAAAUAAUUUUCUAUAAAGUUUGGAAGCUAAGACAUCAUUUGUAUAUAAAUGGUUAUAAUUACUUUGUGAACAUCUUUAUUGCAUUUUGAGAUUGUAUGGAUUUAUUUAUUUAUUUAUGGAUUUGGU